RNAcentral lists this ribosomal RNA (346 nucleotides) under Aeromonas hydrophila. RNAcentral describes it as "bacterial SSU rRNA". It matches the Rfam family "Bacterial small subunit ribosomal RNA", at positions 20 to 360 of the family's 1533-position model. The record is from RNAcentral. Lineage: Bacteria; Pseudomonadati; Pseudomonadota; Gammaproteobacteria; Aeromonadales; Aeromonadaceae.
UGGCUCAGGACGAACGCUGGCGGCAGGCCUAACACAUGCAAGUCGAGCGGCAGCGGGAAAGUAGCUUGCUACUUUUGCCGGCGAGCGGCGGACGGGUGAGUAAUGCCUGGGAAAUUGCCCAGUCGAGGGGGAUAACAGUUGGAAACGACUGCUAAUACCGCAUACGCCCUACGGGGGAAAGCAGGGGACCUUCGGGCCUUGCGCGAUUGGAUAUGCCCAGGUGGGAUUAGCUAGUUGGUGAGGUAAUGGCUCACCAAGGCGACGAUCCCUAGCUGGUCUGAGAGGAUGAUCAGCCACACUGGAACUGAGACACGGUCCAGACUCCUACGGGAGGCAGCAGUAGGAG